GUGCUCAUUUCGACAGCACAUAGACUAACAUUGGAACGAUGCAGAGAAGAUUAGCACGGGCCCUGUGCAAGGAUGACUCGCAAAUUCAUGAAGUGCUCCGUAUUUUU
Varanus komodoensis (Komodo dragon) is the source of this 107-nucleotide small nuclear RNA. Lineage: Eukaryota; Metazoa; Chordata; Lepidosauria; Squamata; Varanidae. The record is from Ensembl.